CCUACGGGAGGCAGCAGUGGGGAAUAUUGCACAAUGGGGGAAACCCUGAUGCAGCAACGCCGCGUGAGUGAAGUAGUAUUUCGGUAUGUAAAGCUCUAUCAGCAGGGAAGAAGAAAGACGGUACCUGACUACGCCGCCCCGGCUAACUACGUGCCAGCAUCGGCGGUCAUCCGGAGGGGGCAAGCGUUAUCCGGAUUUCGUGGGUGUAACGGGAGCGUAGACGGCUGUGCAAGUCUGAAGUGAAAGCCCGUGGCUCAACGGCGGAACUGCUUUGGAAACUGUAGAGCUUGAGUGCGGAAGAGGCCGGCGGAAUUCCUAGUGUAGCGGUGAAAUGCGUAGAUAUUAGGAGGAACACCAGUGGCGAAGGCGGCCUGCUGGACAGAAACUGACGUUGAGGCUCGAAAGCGUGGGGAGCAAACAGGAUUAGAUACCCCGGUAGUC
RNAcentral lists this ribosomal RNA (441 nucleotides) under uncultured bacterium. RNAcentral's name for it is "partial 16S ribosomal RNA". It matches the Rfam family "Bacterial small subunit ribosomal RNA", at positions 338 to 795 of the family's 1533-position model. The record is from RNAcentral.